CCCUAUGGGGUGCAGCAGCUAUCGGUUCGCCUCCAUUAUGGCGCCGGCCAGGAUCUCUUAUCCUUGCUGGAUCUGAAGGGAGUGGGACGGGUGAGGGCAAGAAAGCUCCAUCAGUCCGGCAUAACCAACCGGGAGAAGCUUAAGAGCACAGAUCCGGUGGAGAUCGCCAGGCUUCUUGGACCGAAGAUCGCAGAGAAGGUCCUCCUUCAGCUGGCUCGUGAGGAGAGGAUGGACGGGAUGAGAUCAGAUGAAGCCAUUGAAGGAUAUGGAAAAGACGGAGAGGAAGAGGUGAACGGGAUUACGAAAAAUCAAGCAGCAAGCGAAGCGCAGCCUCCAGGAGAACGGCCGCCUGCAAACAAGACAAAAGCAAGAAGGUCAAAGCAGGGGAGACUGCCUUGAAUUGGCGGGGGAGC
This 413-nucleotide ribosomal RNA is filed under the name uncultured prokaryote. Its description in RNAcentral is "partial 16S ribosomal RNA". The record is from RNAcentral.